AUACGAAAGGUGCAAGCGUUGUUCGGAUUUACUGGGCGUAAAGAGAGUGUAGGUUGUUUAUUAAGUCGGAUGUGAAAUCCCGGGGCUCAACCUCGGAACUGCAUUCGAUACUGAUAGGCUAGAGUUUGGGAGGGGUAAGCGGAAUUCCGUGUGUAGCAGUGAAAUGCGUAGAUAUACGGAGGAACACCUGAGGCGAAGGCGGCUUACUGGACCAAUACUGACACUGAGACUCGAAAGCGUGGGUAGCAAACAGGAUUAGAAACCCGGGUAGUCC
This 274-nucleotide ribosomal RNA is filed under the name uncultured bacterium. Its description in RNAcentral is "partial 16S ribosomal RNA". It matches the Rfam family "Bacterial small subunit ribosomal RNA", at positions 523 to 796 of the family's 1533-position model. The record is from RNAcentral.